RNAcentral lists this unclassified non-coding RNA (378 nucleotides) under uncultured bacterium. RNAcentral's name for it is "contains 16S-23S intergenic spacer region". The record is from RNAcentral.
UCCGGUUUGUCACCGGCAGUCUCGCAUGAGUCCCCAACUAAAUGCUGGCAACAUACGACGGGGGUUGCGCUCGUUGCGGGACUUAACCCAACACCUCACGGCACGAGCUGACGACAGCCGUGCAGCACCUGUGCAGGCUCCCUUGCGGGUCCCUUCCGUUUCCGGUCGGUACCACCUGCAUGUCAAGCCCGGGUAAGGUUCUUCGCGUUGCAUCGAAUUAGACCACACGCUCCGCUGCUUGUGCGGGCCCCCGUCAAUUCCUUUGAGUUUUAGCCUUGCGGCCGUACUCCCCAGGCGGAACACUUAUCGCGUUGGCUUCGGCACAGACAGAUUCGACUCCGCCCACACCUAGUGUUCAUCGUUUACGGCGUGGACUAC